UACGAAGGGGGCUAGCGUUGUUCGGAAUCACUGGGCGUAAAGCGCACGUAGGCGGACCUUCAAGUCAGGCGUGAAAGCCCCGGGCUCAACCUGGGAACCGCGCUUGAGACUGGCAUGCUCGAGUUCGGGAGAGGAUGGUGGAAUUCCCAGUGUAGAGGUGAAAUUCGUAGAUAUUGGGAAGAACACCGAUGGCGAAGGCAGCCAUCUGGACCGACACUGACGCUGAGGCGCGAAAGCGUGGGGAGCAAACAGG
Molecule: ribosomal RNA, 253 nt
Filed under: uncultured bacterium
Lineage: Bacteria
Description: partial 16S ribosomal RNA
Rfam family: Bacterial small subunit ribosomal RNA
Source: RNAcentral